GAGGAAGAGAUUGAGCAGCCUUGCAUGCACCAUGACGGCCUCUUCCUCUCCAUUAUUAUUGGUUAAUGAAAAAAAAUUGAAAAGCAAGAAAGAAGACGAAUGGGUUGUUGUUGAAAAGCAAGAAAGAAGACAAAGUUGGGUUGUCGUUGAAAAGCAAGUUGAUCCUAGCGGAAAGCAAGGUAAAGAAAACAAAUGAUUAUUGCCAGGCAUGUGAACACCCACCGAAAUAAAGAGAUAAGU
RNAcentral lists this long non-coding RNA (240 nucleotides) under Prunus dulcis (almond). Its description in RNAcentral is "sRNA ncRNA". Lineage: Eukaryota; Viridiplantae; Streptophyta; Magnoliopsida; Rosales; Rosaceae. The record is from RNAcentral.